RNAcentral lists this ribosomal RNA (497 nucleotides) under uncultured bacterium. Its description in RNAcentral is "partial 16S ribosomal RNA". It matches the Rfam family "Bacterial small subunit ribosomal RNA", at positions 28 to 507 of the family's 1533-position model. The record is from RNAcentral.
GAUGAACGCUGGCGGCGUGCCUAAUACAUGCAAGUCGAGCGAACAGACGAGGAGCUUGCUCCUCUGACGUUAGCGGCGGACGGGUGAGUAACACGUGGAUAACCUACCUAUAAGACUGGGAUCACUUCGGGAAACCGGAGCUAAUACCGGAUAAUAUAUUGAACCGCAUGGUUCAAUAGUGAAAGACGGCUUUGCUGUCACUUAUAGAUGGAUCCGCGCCGCAUUAGCUAGUUGGUAAGGUAACGGCUUACCAAGGCAACGAUGCGUAGCCGACCUGAGAGGGUGAUCGGCCACACUGGAACUGAGACACGGUCCAGACUCCUACGGGAGGCAGCAGUAGGGAAUCUUCCGCAAUGGGCGAAAGCCUGACGGAGCAACGCCGCGUGAGUGAUGAAGGUCUUCGGAUCGUAAAACUCUGUUAUUAGGGAAGAACAAAUGUGUAAGUAACUAUGCACGUCUUGACGGUACCUAAUCAGAAAGCCACGGCUAACUACGUG